This is a non-coding RNA of Vicugna pacos (alpaca), 1913 nucleotides long. NCBI's taxonomy places the organism in Eukaryota, Metazoa, Chordata, Mammalia, Artiodactyla, Camelidae. The record is from RefSeq and is a predicted model, not a curated record.
GGUGGAGCUAUGGACAGACCUAGGUGUAUCCCUCACUGUGGGGGAGAAGCAAGUAGGCUGAAUGUCAGCAGCCUUACUGAGUAGGCCGUGGGACCCAGGUCCAAGGUCACCACAACUUGCCUGUGUAUGAGGUAAGAGGUAAAUGUACACAUGCACCAGUUACGUAAGCUUUAUGAAUAAAGAAAGUAAAGGUACGCAUGCGCUAGUAGCGUUAUGUAAGUAGUCUGAACAAAGAAAUGAAUAAUGCACAUGUGUGAGCAGAAUAGAUAAAAGUAGGACAAGUGCGCCACGCGGGCGUGCGCCCUCUUGUUGAACUAGAAUAAGGUGCUGUUUCGCUCCAUGUCAGCUCCUCGCGCAGUUUGUUUCGCAGUAUGGCUGCUCCUUGCACAUUUUUCCAUUUGGGCAGCUCAACUCCUUGAAUUCCUCUUCAGCCCCCCUUGGCUGACCCUGAAGCUAUGGGGUUUUGUUUGUUUGUUUUUGUCUCCAUGACGCAGGAAAUAUCAGGGCCAGAACUGAAGAGAAAUCUCCCAUUCCUGAGGGCUCUAUAGUUGUCAGCCAUGCAGGGGAAAUAACAGAGAAUGGCCGAAGCGAGAUCCCUGUCCCUAAAAGCUCAGAUCCAGUGAAUGUGAGACGUUCCUCUGCUCCGGCCACUCAGAGAUGACAAUAGUUAACUUCAUUUCAAACGUAAAACAAUACUGACCUGUGAAGAAAUUCAGAUACACGUGAAUAGUGCACCUGGCAUUCUCCUUUCCCCACCAACCACAGCUGACCCCUGUUAAAACACUCACGUUCACAUCCUGUCUUUCGCAUGAAGCAUUUUACUGUGGCGAACUGGCAAAUUGUGUGAGCUCCUCCACAAAAAGGUUUAUUAUGUUCAGCAGCAGGUCUCAAAUUCUCCCCGUUCACAGUUGGAGAGUUUGGAGAAGGCACGUCUCAGCCUUCAGAUUCAUGCGCCGCCAUUGAUGGAUAUCACGUGGGAUUUCAUUCCAUAUAAUCACUCGGCCCAGUUACAAGGGAAGAUGGGAACGUAGUUAAUGCGGGUGGGCACAGGCCCACGAAACGAGAGAAUCCGUUCAAGCGGAAAGCUUGUGGUUUCCAGGCAACCGCACCGCCUGCUUCCGGGAUCCGCCAGGCCCAACCAACCAGGUCUCCAGCCAGGAUUCUCUACCUUCCACGGGUGGGCGGGCUCACUUCCUCCCCAGAUACCCUCUCUCGCGAGAUCGGCGGUCACGGUGCGCCUGCGCAGAGAACGCCACUACCUUCGACUCCCAGAAGGCACCGCGCGUGGACGCGGGAGGCGUGGGCAGAGUCCUCGGCCUUCAGCGCUUUCGCUUCUGGGAGUUUAACGCUGAGCGGGUUGUAAGCGCGGGCUCAGGCGCGCGAGCGCAGGAAGUUGACCGGAAGGCCCUCGUCUCCGGAGCCCUGGGUGAGACCGCGGAUAUCCGCAGGGUAGCUGAGUCAGGAAGAAGGAAAUCCAGAGAUGGUGUGAACAAACUUGAAGUUUGAGAAUCGGCUGGUAUCCUCUGCUGAUUUUGAAGAACUGUAAACUCCUGCAGCUGCGUCAGGUACUGGAGACUGAACCCAGGGCCUGGUGCAUUCUGAGCAUGCACUGCACCGCUGGCAUGUUAGCCUCCCCCCAAUGUCAGAUGUAAAAAUCAUCACCGAGACCUGUCAAGGAGCUUACCGCCGAGGACACUCUCACUGCAAUCACAGUUGAAAUGAGGAUUACUUCCCAACCAAGAGAUGAGGUCAUAGAAUCCCCAGCCUUCAUCUCAAGGUUCAGAUGCCCUUUGCCACACCUGUGCAGGUGCCACCCAGGCACCCACUGUCCUGACAGCAAAUGCCAACCUGGACUUACAUCUUCAAAGUCCAAUGUUGUCCAACUGGAGCUGGGAGGAGAACCCUGUGUGCUU